GACGUAGGGUGCAAGCGUUGUCCGGAUUUACUGGGCGUAAAGAGCGCGUAGGCGGUCUGUUAAGUGUAGAGUGAAAUCUCCAGGGCUCAACCCGGAAACUGCUCUGCAUACUGGCAGACUGGAGGGACUGAGAGGUGAAUGGAAUUCCUGGUGUAGCGGUGAAAUGCGUAGAUAUCAGGAGGAACACCCAUGGCGAAGGCAGUUCACUGGCAGUCUCCUGACGCUGAGGAGCGAAAGCGUGGGGAGCGAACAGG
Molecule: ribosomal RNA, 254 nt
Filed under: uncultured bacterium
Lineage: Bacteria
Description: partial 16S ribosomal RNA
Rfam family: Bacterial small subunit ribosomal RNA
Source: RNAcentral